Non-coding RNA from Arachis ipaensis, 1771 nucleotides. Lineage: Eukaryota; Viridiplantae; Streptophyta; Magnoliopsida; Fabales; Fabaceae. The record is from RefSeq and is a predicted model, not a curated record.
UUUACAAAGCACUCCAAGAGGAUGAACACCGUCUUCAAUGUGCCUCACGAAGACGAAUAACCUAGCUAACCCUAACAUGUUUUCAUUGUGCCUCACGAAGAACCACUAACCACGAAGAAGAACCCCUAACCGCGACGAAGAGCCCCUAACAGCACUCUGUGAAGAACGUCGCCGGUCGCCGGCGCUCGCAAUGCCUCCGUUGAAGAACCCCUAACCGCGACGAAGAACCCCUAACCCUCCUUAAAGUUUCUUCGCUCUUCUCUCGCCACUCUCACCCUCAAGCUCACUGAGUCUCACCUCUCACGGCUGGUCUCGCCGUCGACCUCUCUCUAUCUCUCCGGUAUAUCGCUUCUCUCACGGGCGUUUCAGACUCAAGAUCGUCGCGCUCUGUUUCCAUCACUGCUCUGUCACCGUCGCUGCUCUAUCGCGCUCUGUCGCAAGCGAAUCGAUGGAAUUCGACCCGAUCCCAAUCGGUUCCUGCUCCAAAGAGAACCAGAGCAUCUACCAGCAGUUGUUUAAAUUACGCCGAUUCAGAAUCUCUUUGAUUGCUUCAGGCAUGCUUUGCCCUUUUAUCAUCUUCUUCCAAUAUUCUCCCACCAACUGGCAGGUGAUGCAUGGUUUCUAAAUACUCCUGAAAAAUCAUUGAGCUUCAUCCUUGCAGAUCAAGGUUUUGAUGUAUGGGUAGGAAAUGUGUGUGGAACACGUUGGAGCCAUGGUCAUAGGUCUUAUUCAGUGAAGAAUAAGAAAUUCUGGGAUUGGAGCUGGCAGGAAUUAGCCCUGUAUGAUAUGGUAGAAAUGAUCAAUUACAUAUAUUCAGUAACAAAUUCAAAGCUAUUCAUAGUUGGGCAUUCACAGAUGACUACUGGUUUUAUUCAAAUGGUUUUUACCAUGGGUAUUCAUCAACUGAACUUCAAAAGGGUGUAGAAGCAAACUGAGGCAGAUAAGGUGCACUUCUUUCUGAAAGAUUAGAAAGAUUAUGAAAGAUGAAACCAGGGUUUGUUUAAGAUUAUGAAAGAUGCCUAUUGUAUACUUUUUUAAGUUGUAGGAACUCCGAAUGUAUUAAAAGUGUUGAUGCUUUAUUGUUUCACAAUAGCUUAAACGUACCCACAUUCACAGGAAGGUUUCUGGCUGAAGUAACAAAGCAAGUUUUAACUGAUCUUGAAGCUAGCAAAUAUCAGAUGGCUGAGUACAGGAUCUCUGUUUAUGGAAGAAAACAGAGUGAAUGAGACCAGCUGGCAAGUUGGUUUGUUAACAAUGCUAUUUAUAGCAAGAAUGCUGUAUGGCUAAUCCAUGUGUGUUAUUCUGUCUUGAGGAAGCCCUUCAUUCACUUGAAAUUUCUCUGAACCAGAUUAUAUGUUAUACCUGGUCUGGUAGUGAUACAUUGAAACUAAAAAGCAUAAGAGCUGGCCUCAAAAAACUGAAUUUGGUAGAAGAUAGAGCUAUUGCAAGGGUGAACCAUUUUGGUGUCUAUGUGAGAUAUUUCUUCAAUCUUCCUGCACCAAUAGAUCAAAUUCCUACAAAUAUGUCUCCUGUGAAAAUCGUACCCACUAGCAUGGCCAAAGAAUUCGUUGGCGUAAAUGUAUGAUGGAAAUGAUAUGACAUUUGGGAUAUCAUCAAGAAUGGCUGGCCUUGUUUUAAUCACUCUCUGUGUAUUUAUGUAAAAAUUUCACAAUGAAAUUUUGAUAAAUAAGUUGGCACUAUUGUCUUUGUUCUUGAUACAUUGUAAAAACCAAAAAAUUUCAAUGAAAAUUUGAUAAUUAACUUGGUACUA